GACGAACGCUGGCGGCGUGCCUAAUACAUGCAAGUCGAACGCAUUUUCUUUCACCGUAGCUUGCUACACCGAAAGAAAAUGAGUGGCGAACGGGUGAGUAACACGUGGGUAACCUGCCCAUCAGCGGGGGAUAACACUUGGAAACAGGUGCUAAUACCGCAUAAUUCCAUUUACCGCAUGGUAAAUGGAUGAAAGGCGCUUUUGCGUCACUGAUGGAUGGACCCGCGGUGCAUUAGCUAGUUGGUGGGGUAACGGCCUACCAAGGCUGCGAUGCAUAGCCGACCUGAGAGGGUGAUCGGCCACACUGGGACUGAGACACGGCCCAGACUCCUACGGGAGGCAGCAGUAGGGAAUCUUCGGCAAUGGACGCAAGUCCGACCGAGCAACGCCGCGUGAGUGAAGAAGGUUUUCGGAUCGUAAAACUCUGUUGUUAGAGAAGAACAAGGAUGAGAGUGGAAAGUUCAUCCCUUGACGGUAUCUAACCAGAAAGCCACGGCUAACUACGUG
This 507-nucleotide ribosomal RNA is filed under the name uncultured bacterium. RNAcentral's name for it is "partial 16S ribosomal RNA". It matches the Rfam family "Bacterial small subunit ribosomal RNA", at positions 28 to 507 of the family's 1533-position model. The record is from RNAcentral.